AGGUAAUUAGUUUAAAGAAAACAUUUGAUUUCGGCUCAAAAGCUUAUGGUUCGAAUCCAUGAUAACCUA
This 69-nucleotide transfer RNA is filed under the name Puck pinnata. RNAcentral's name for it is "tRNA-Arg". It matches the Rfam family "tRNA". Rfam says of the family: Transfer RNA (tRNA) molecules are approximately 80 nucleotides in length. Their secondary structure includes four short double-helical elements and three loops (D, anti-codon, and T loops). The record is from RNAcentral. Lineage: Eukaryota; Metazoa; Chordata; Actinopteri; Lophiiformes; Oneirodidae.